This 1442-nucleotide ribosomal RNA is filed under the name metagenome. Its description in RNAcentral is "bacterial SSU rRNA". It matches the Rfam family "Archaeal small subunit ribosomal RNA". The record is from RNAcentral.
AUCCGUUUAUCCUGCGAAAGAUUGCUGCUAUCAGGCUCCGGCUAACACAUGCAAGUCAGCUUACCAUCGCAAGAUGGUUGGCGGCGAACUGCUCAGUAACACGUCGAUAACCUGCCUUAUAGUCUGGAAUAACCUUGGGAAACUGAGGCUAAAACCGGAUAAGAAAAAGAUACUGGGAUGUACUUUUUCACAAACGAAAGGCUAUAAGAUGGGUCGGCGGUGGAUUAGGCUGUUGGCGAGGUAAUGGCUCACCAAACCGAAGAUCCAUAAGGGCCUUGAGAGAGGUUGCCCUGAGAAGGAAACUGAGACACUUUUCCUAGCCCUAAGGGGUGCAGCAGUGGGGAAUACUUUACAAUGCGCGCAAGCGUGAUAAGGGGAUCCUGAGUGCUUAGGUAACACCUGAGCUUUUACCAAGAGCAAAUAUCUUGGCGAAUAAGUGGUGGGAAAGACUGGUGCCAGCCGCCGCGGUAACCCCAGCGCCACAAGUGGCAAUCGCGAUUAUUGGGUCUAAAGCGUCCGUAGCCUGACUGUUAAAUUUUCUGUGAAAUCGUUGCGCUCAACGUAACGGCGUGCAGAGAAGACUGACAGUCUUGAGACCGGGAGAGGUAGAAGGUAUUCCGUGGGGAGCGGUAAAAUGUUAUAAUCCUCGGAGGACCACCAAUGGCGAAGGCAUUCUACCAGAACGGGUCUGACGGUGAGGGACGAAAGCUAGGGGAGCAAACCGGAUUAGAUACCCGAGUAGUCCUAGCUGUAAACGCUGUGAGCAAGAUGUCACGUAAUCUUCGAGAUUGCGUGGUGUCGUCAUGAAGGUGUUAAGCUCACCACCUGGGAAUUACUAUCGCACGGCUGAAACCUAAAGGAAUUGGCGGGGGAGCACCACAACGGGCGCGGCGUGCGGUUCAAUCGAAUUCAACGCCAAGAAUCUCACCAGGGGCGACGGCAGUAUGAUGGCCAGUCUGAAGGGCUUGCUUGACGAGCCGAGAGGUGGUGCAUGGCCACCGUCAGCUCGUGCCGUGAGGUGUUCUCUUAAGUGGGACAACGAGCGAGACCUGUAUCUGCUGUUGCAAACGCGGGAGCAAUCCUGAGCGAGCACACUGCAGAGACUGCCUUGGAAACAAGGAGGAAGGCGCAGGCCACGGUAAGUCUGUAUGCCCCGAAUCUCCUGGGCUACACGCGCGCAACAAUGGUAAAGACAAUGGGAUGCAACUCCGAAAGGAGAAGCUAAUCCUCAAAACUUUACCCUAGUCCGGAUUGAGGAUUGAAACUCAUCCUCAUGACGCCGGAGUCCGUAGUAAUCAGAGGUUAUCAUCUUCUGGUGAAUAUGUCCCUGCUCCUUGCACACACUGCCCGUCAUAUCAACCGAGCAGGGUUUAGGUGAGUCUUUACUUUAUUGGUAAGUCCGAACCUAAGCUCAGUGAGGUGGGUCAAGUCGUCACAAGGUA